This 253-nucleotide ribosomal RNA is filed under the name uncultured bacterium. RNAcentral describes it as "partial 16S ribosomal RNA". It matches the Rfam family "Bacterial small subunit ribosomal RNA", at positions 524 to 776 of the family's 1533-position model. The record is from RNAcentral.
GACAGAGGGGGCAAGCGUUGCUCGGAAUCACUGGGCGUAAAGGGCGCGUAGGCGGGACGCCAAGUCGGUCGUGAAAUCUCCGGGCUCAACCCGGAGGAGUCGGCCGAAACUGGUGUUCUUGAGGGAGGCAGAGGAGUCUGGAAUUCCCGGUGUAGCGGUGAAAUGCGUAGAGAUCGGCAGGAACACCCAGGGGGAAACCAGUCGACUGGGCAUCUACUGACGCUGAGGUGCGAGAGCGUGGGGAGCGAACCGG